AGCUCGUGUCGUGAGAUGUGGUAAGUCCCGCAACGAGCGCAACCCUUGUCAUUAGUUGCUACAUUCAGUUGGGCACUCUAAUGAGACUGCCGUGACAAACCGGAGGAAGGUGGGGAUGACGUCAAGUCCUCAUGGCCCUUAUAGGUGGGGCUACACACGUCAUACAAUGGAUGGUACAAAGGGUCGCCAACCCGCGAGGGGGAGCCAAUCCCAUAAAGCCAUUCGUAGUCCGGAUCGCAGUCUGCAACUCGACUGCGUGAAGUCGGAAUCGCUAGUAAUCGUGGAUCAGAAUGUCACGGUGAAUACGUUCCCGGGUCUU
Molecule: ribosomal RNA, 319 nt
Filed under: uncultured Acidovorax sp.
Lineage: Bacteria; Pseudomonadati; Pseudomonadota; Betaproteobacteria; Burkholderiales; Comamonadaceae
Description: bacterial SSU rRNA
Rfam family: Bacterial small subunit ribosomal RNA
Source: RNAcentral